Molecule: Y RNA, 111 nt
Filed under: Aotus nancymaae (Ma's night monkey)
Lineage: Eukaryota; Metazoa; Chordata; Mammalia; Primates; Aotidae
Description: Y RNA (ENSANAG00000010042.1)
Rfam family: Y RNA
About the family: Y RNAs are components of the Ro ribonucleoprotein particle (Ro RNP), in association with Ro60 and La proteins. The Y RNAs and Ro60 and La proteins are well conserved, but the function of the Ro RNP is not known.
Source: Rfam by way of RNAcentral
GGCUGGUCCGAAGGUAAUGAGUUAUCUCAAUUGACUAUUCAGUCAGUUACAGAUCGAGCUCCUUGUUCUACUCUUUCCCUGCUUCUCACUACUGGACUUGACUAGUCUUUA